Molecule: long non-coding RNA, 433 nt
Filed under: Mytilus galloprovincialis (Mediterranean mussel)
Lineage: Eukaryota; Metazoa; Mollusca; Bivalvia; Mytilida; Mytilidae
Source: RNAcentral
AUUGUAUACUAGGAGCCUGUAUUUCAGUGGUUGUCGUUUGUUUAUGUGUUACAUAUUUGUUUUUCGUUCAUUUUUUUUUUUUUAUAUAACUAAGGCCGUUAGUUUUCUCGUUUGAAUUGUUUUACAUUGUCAUAUAGGGGACUUUUAUAGCUGACUAUGCGGUAUGGGCUUUGCUCAUUGUUGAAGGUCGUACGAUGAUCUAUAAAUGUUAAUUUCUGUGUCAUUUUGGUCUCUUGUGGACAGCUGUCUCAUUGGCAAUCAUACCACAUCUUCUUUUUUUUUUAUUAUAGAUCCAACGCUGCAAUUUUCACAAAACAUUUUCCACCUUGUCGCACAUACAUAUGGAUACAAUCAUUACAGCUUAUUUCCUAAUGCAUGUGGAGCAAAACUUUGGUUAGCUUGCUUGCUUUGUUUGUAUAUUGUACAAAAUAUA